AACGAACGCUGGCGGCAUGCCUAACACAUGCAAGUCGAACGAGACCUUCGGGUCUAGUGGCGCACGGGUGCGUAAAGCGUGGGAACCUGCCCUUAGGUUCGGAAUAACUCCCCGAAAGGGGUUCUAAUACCGGAUAAUGUCUUCGGACCAAAGAUUUAUCGCCUUUGGAUGGGCCCGCGUUGGAUUAGCUAGUUGGUAGGGUAAAAGCCUACCAAGGCGACGAUCCAUAGCUGGUCUGUGAGGAUGAUCAGCCACACUGGGACUGAGACACGGCCCAGACUCCGACGGAAGGCAGCAGUGGGGAGUAUUGGACGAUGAGGGAAAGCCUGAUCCAGCAGUGCGGCGUGAGAGAUGAAGGCCUUAGGGUUGUAAAGCUCUUUUACCCGGGAUGAUAGUGACAGUACCGGGAGAAUAAGCACCGGCUAACUCCGUG
RNAcentral lists this ribosomal RNA (433 nucleotides) under uncultured bacterium. RNAcentral's name for it is "partial 16S ribosomal RNA". It matches the Rfam family "Bacterial small subunit ribosomal RNA", at positions 29 to 507 of the family's 1533-position model. The record is from RNAcentral.